GAGCGCUCAUGUCGUCGCUGAAAUCGUCGCUGAAAUCACCGCCGUCUAGUUCGAAGGAGCUGAAAUAGCUCCACGCGUCGUCAGAAGGCAUCGUCAGCUUCGCUUUUUUUUGGCGUUAGCACCACGUGCACUGCGCGCUUAGCACGCGUUCUGCGUGUUUACAUUACGGUAGUGUAGGAUCUGACGUCAUCGACUAAUCGUAGACGUCACAAGAAUCAGCUUCGCUUUCAGUUUCGGUGCCUUGUUUGUUGGUUAUUCAAAAUUACUGAUGACUUUCUAAACAAGUUGACCCACCCUACCGGUGAGAGGACUGUCAAUGCCAUUUGAAAAUGCCAAUAUCCUAAUAUGAUUAAAAAAAAAACACUGGAGUGGCCCUUUGAGAGGUUUCUCUCCAUCACCUUAGUUUUCUACAGCAGUAAUGCGUUAAACAUUCUUUGGCGAGCACCCCAGCAAAAUCUGUCCGUCCCGUGACGCCCUAUGUCUACAAAAUAAACGCAUAAUUGGUCAAGUUAACACGUCUAAUCGUUGUAGUAGUACAAUAGCAGAUUAUUGGUCGUGCUAGAAAAAAAAAAGACAAAAACAAAUUUGAAACUGAUUACUUCGUCGUCGAGACGUGAAUGUCAUAAAAACAACAACAACAACAAAAGGAAAAUAAAGAUGUUAACACAUGUAAUCGUUUCAAUACUGUAAUAUUAUAUGACCGGUAGCAUUAACGAAGACUGGUGACGGCGCCAUCGCGACGUCAAUGUUGUAACGAAAAAGAAAAAAAAGAGGAAAAAACCUGUGUUGCGGCAAAAUAGAAAAAAAAAAAAAACGGAUGUUACGGCGUUUCGGCUCAGUUGAUACGACGUAUCUGCAAAAUAAAGGCACAAUUGAUCAAGUUAACACAUGUAAUCCUUAUAAUAGUGUAAUAGUAGAUGAUUGGUGGCGAUGGGUAAGCAUGCAUAAGCUAGCUAAAUAAGUAGGCGAAAGUAAAGUAGCAGCCCAGCCAAAGAAUGCUUACGCAUUCGUAGACAAUGCGCAGAAUUUCUGUGCCAUAUUUUUUUUGCAUCCUGCUUUAUCGUAUAGCGCGGCCCAGCAUCGCACGCGCAGGCUGUUGUGAAGCGGCAUAAAGCGAUAGCCAGUGAGAGAACGCGUAGUGCAAUGCGUAAUUCAGAGGUCAGACUAACUUAAACAAAAUUGUUCGACAAGCGAUAAAAAAGGAGAAGCAAAAGGAACGCCGCAUUAAAAUUCGGAAAACAACGAAAUUCAAGCGAAACGUGAAGAGUGAAUACAAAACAAAGAAGCAAAAGCAACAACAACAACAAAAAAAGAGACUGUUUCUUCUCCUUCAUUCAGAUUCCCUAAUACAGACAAGUCCCAUCAACGAACCCUCCAAGCUGAGCGUCGGUUGGUCCGGCUCCCAGAGAACAAGACUGAAGAGCCAAGUACAACAAAGAGUAUGGAGGCUGCCGGAUGUCCUGCGUAACCCAAGUCCGGAUGACUGUAAGACAUCGGCGUGGGUGGGAGUGUGCGUGCGGGCGACCACGAAGGGAUUGCGUGUACGUGAGCUCACUGUCCGCUGCACCGGCUCGGAGAAUGCGCGUGACGCCGGGACGUCGACUUUCGCGAUAAAACCGUGCCGACACCAGCCUUGUGUCGCCAGGACAGAAGACUCCGUUGGAAACUACCGAAACCUGGUCGCAGGUUCCGUGUAAUGAUGGCACUGUCAUCGUUCCCAAUGGCCUUGCUCACCGUGGUGCUUAUGGGGGAUGCUGUCGUCAGCAAUCAGUUCUACUCUGUGUACUACCACAUUCGCCUGCUGGAAACCGACCGGGUCUACGGCUGCCUGCAGUGCUUCAAGAUGCCCUGUGCACAACGGGAGAUACGGGCACGGCCGCUAGAAGGACCAUUGCAGUGCUGCCGUGCUUGCACCGUUGUUGGUCCCGGAAGAGAGUGCUCCGUUUAUCGUGAGCAUACAGCGAUCGUUUGCGACAAAGCACACGUCUGCGACACCAACACACAAGUUUGCGUGAAAGAGCGAGACCGUUGACUGGAUAUGCAUUGAUACAAAAUAAAAAUCGGCCGACAUCAGCCACUUCGACGAUUUUUUCAGCUCUGAAGUCACCUGCUGCAAUGGCAAAAUACUUUAUAAGAGUGGUAAUCUAGUACCGGAAGAACAGGUCCGCAUCUAGUUGAUGGUGUUGAGGGAGAUAAGAGACCUUUGAAUCCGGUGCCGUCGGUACGUGGGUCCUGGUGUAACUAGUUGCCCAGCCUUCACCACCCCAUCUUCAUUGCGACGGGGGAACAAUCCCCCUGAGUCCGGCAAGAGAACAACCACAACAAAACUAGAAAAAAAAGCCUCGCUCGAAAAAAAAAAAAAGUCUCCCAGGUGCUGGGUAUCGAUCCCAGUACCUCUCGCAUGCUAAGCGAGCGCUCUACCAUCUGAGCUACACCCCCCCUUUUUUUUUCUUUCUUUCGUGGUAUUUAUUACAGUAGCAACAAACCGACGUUCACCAGUUUUGCAUAGUCAGACAAUGGAGUGCACAAUGAAAGUCACACAGAAAAGUCAUGGUUUAUACUGUCGGUAGAAAUGUUGGUUUCACUUUAGAAGGGUGGUAAGGAUACGCACCUCACCAAAAUGGGGUACCAGUCCGGCUGUGUAUCGAGUCCAUCAUAAACCUGCUUUAGGUGUAGUGUCAUUUGGAUGAAAUUUGC
Dermacentor andersoni is the source of this 2697-nucleotide long non-coding RNA. RefSeq lists it as uncharacterized. NCBI's taxonomy places the organism in Eukaryota, Metazoa, Arthropoda, Arachnida, Ixodida, Ixodidae. The record is from RefSeq and is a predicted model, not a curated record.